Molecule: long non-coding RNA, 2002 nt
Organism: Callithrix jacchus (white-tufted-ear marmoset)
Lineage: Eukaryota; Metazoa; Chordata; Mammalia; Primates; Cebidae
Source: RefSeq, a predicted model, not a curated record
GACCGACCUGGGGAAGGAAUGAGGUCACAUUCCAUGAGACAGAGUCAAGGCAGUUCACGCAUCACUUCAAAUACUCACUCUCUUGGAAAAAUACCGGCAGGGUUAGAUAUUCAUGCCAAAUAAGAAAACUGGAUAUACAAAAUGGAUAUUAAGACUGAGCACAGUAUCCAGCCUUCCAGGACCAUAGGCCUAAAGGGGACCAAUGGCUCAGCCAUGGGUCGUAGCCCUCCAAAGACUCGUUCAUGUCCUGCCCCCGUCCUGUACUUAUCCCCAGUCUCCAGAAGAUCAGCUGGCAAGUGGGAGGAGUUGCAGUAUGCCAGGCCUUCCCUCUGGCUUCCACCCCUCUUUGUAUGUGACUUAAACACAUAAUACGUUGUUAUGAAUGACUUUUAAUUCAUUGACUUUUCAAGAUAUUUUGGGGGCACCUACUUCAGUCAGGCACUGUGCUAGGAGUAGUGAAUAUGAUACAUUAGUUACUACCUUGCCCCUACAAUCCAAAUAUGAAACUGGAGAUGAACAUUUUGAUAGGUAAGUAUAGGGUUCUAUAGGAACUAACAUUAUUCCUUUCUUCUUUCCCUCUCCUCAUUCCUUCCUUUUUCUAUUCUUUCCUUCCUUCCAUAAAUACUUAUUAAGAACCUACUAUGUGCUGGUAUUAGUCAAGGUGCUAGAGGGGAAAGUAGUGAACAACAGAGAUGCCUGCCACCUUGGAGUUCACAUCCUGGUGAUGACUGGGGAAUUUGACCUGGGGUAGGAACAACUUGUGAAGGAACUUCAACUUGUAAACCAGGCCAGAGUUUGAACUUUAUCUGGUUGAUAAAAGAGAACCUAAUAUUAAAUUUAGGCAAGGGAAUAGUCUAAGUAGAUUUGUGUUUCAGAAAAAUCACAGGAAACUACAUGGAGGAUGAGUGGCAGGAGGUGAGACUGGAAGCAGUAAGAUCAGAUUGGAAGUUGCUGGGAGACCAUGAGAGAGAUGGGUUGGUGCCCUAGACCAAGUGGGCUGCUGAGAAAGGAAGAGAGCCCCACAAUUCACUCCCACAGGGCCAGUGGUGAUGGUGGCACCUUGAACAGGAUGGCAAAGCAGCACCUCUUCAAAGUGAUAUUCGAAAAAACAUGUACAAAUCUAUUUGGUGGGCAUAGAGAGAAACAAAUGACCUGUUAUUAAAAAUUGCAUUAUGUUGCUUUAUGUUAAUUAUGCAUACUGAAGAUGACAUUUCAAAUCAUUUGCAUUGUCUUUCAUUUCACAAUUUCUGUAUCACUCCUAGGAGGGUAGCAAACUGAGAUACCAUGGGAAGAGUCCAUCUACUCUGCUGGAGGCACCACAUGGAGAGAGGGAGGGGUCCAGCCAAGCCCAGCCCAGUCUCCAGCUGUCCCCACCAGGGUGCCAGGCAUGUGAAUGAUGACAUCCCAGGAUCCUCAGACCAGACCAACUGCCAUCUAAAUACUGCUGAGUAACCCCAGUCAAAGCCCCGUGAAGCCUAAGUGUCUCCAGACUAAGCCCUGCCUGAAUUUAUGACCCAUAGAUGAUGUGAAAGACACACAUCCCAACUGCCAUUAGCAGCCACCAUCCGAUCGCAAGGGGAACUGGAUUUGUGAAGAAGCCAAUGCUAUUGAGGGUAAAGGGAAGAGAUGGAAAGAACCUAAGACCACAGUAACAUCAUCGAAUCACUGAAUCAAUCAACCUGGAAGCCCACCCUACAGUUGUACAGGUCACACAGCAGCAAGUGGUGGAAUUGGAAUUUGAACUGAAAAAGUCUGACUCCCAAGCUCUGUCUCUUAACUAUUCUAAACCAAGGAAGUAGUAACAAGGAAAGUAGUAGCACCAAUAAAAUAAGUAAAUAAAAAGUUUUAUAGAUUUGUUUAGUAAGAAAGGAUGAUGCAUGGGGGAUGUGGAUUUGGGAGUGAACGAAUCAAUUAUGAGGUACAAGUGGACCCUCAAUAUUUUACACAUGCCCAUGAACACUAUUUAUUGAUGUUUUAUAAAUACCUACGUAAUUACAUAUUC